Long non-coding RNA from Epinephelus fuscoguttatus (brown-marbled grouper), 245 nucleotides. RefSeq lists it as uncharacterized. The transcript has 4 exons. NCBI's taxonomy places the organism in Eukaryota, Metazoa, Chordata, Actinopteri, Perciformes, Serranidae. The record is from RefSeq and is a predicted model, not a curated record.
CCAAACUGUAUUUCACACAGGACCCCUUGCAGUGCAUCACCUGUGAGAUCACAAGAAGGCUGAAGAACCAGGAGUGACAAGAUAUCACUGAAUGAAAUUUUGGGAAUGAAAAAGCUCCUGCCACAAGAUCUUCAGAGCCAGACAAGCAUUGGAGCAGGGUUUACGGGGGAGAACAGGCACCCUAGACCAUCACUGAUGCACAAAAGAUCCAACUGAUUGCUGCCAAUUUGGAGGAGGAUUCCUCG